CAGCGGCUCGUCUGAAGCCAGAACUGUUGCUGAUGAGAGUGUGUGUGUCGCUCUUCUGCUCUCUGAUGGAGGAGAUGCUGAUCUGAACACACGACGGGAGUGUGUCCUUCUCUUCAUCAUGCUCCUGAAGAGUGUGUGCGUCGCUCGGGCCCCGGGGCCGGUCUGACCCCAUGAGGAGCUCGGCCUCCACUGACCUCAUGCACAGGUUUGAGGUGCUCGGCGUUGUGGGAGAAGGAGCAUAUGGCGUCGUCCUCAAAUGCAGACACAAGGUAAGUGUUCAGUGAAGUCACAGACGCUCGUCUUCAGCCUUUGAGCAUCAUGUUUGCAGACACACACCGGCUAGAAACACGUCAGAAUAGUGCUGCUGUGAUGUUUAUUCCUGAUGU
Non-coding RNA from Danio rerio (zebrafish), 386 nucleotides. NCBI's taxonomy places the organism in Eukaryota, Metazoa, Chordata, Actinopteri, Cypriniformes, Danionidae. The record is from RefSeq and is a predicted model, not a curated record.